This 170-nucleotide ribosomal RNA is filed under the name uncultured archaeon. RNAcentral describes it as "partial 16S ribosomal RNA". It matches the Rfam family "Archaeal small subunit ribosomal RNA", at positions 325 to 499 of the family's 1478-position model. The record is from RNAcentral.
ACGGGGCGCAGCAGGCGCGAAAACUUUACAAUGCGGGNAACCGUGAUAAGGGAACUCUGAGUGCCCGUAAAAUCGGGCUGUCCAUCAGUUUAAAUAACUGGUGAAGAAAGGGCCGGGCAAGACCGGUGCCAGCCGCCGCGGUAAUACCGGUGGCUCGAGUGGNGGCCACU